This is a long non-coding RNA of Tribolium castaneum (red flour beetle), 426 nucleotides long. RefSeq lists it as uncharacterized. Lineage: Eukaryota; Metazoa; Arthropoda; Insecta; Coleoptera; Tenebrionidae. The transcript has 3 exons. The record is from RefSeq and is a predicted model, not a curated record.
GCAGACUUUAACGCGUGAUGUGUGUUGGUAUUAUUUAAUAUGAGGCAGAUUUUGUGUCGUGUGUUUCAGCAAAAUUUCAGUGAGUCAACCGAAAUUCUUCGACAAAGUCAACAUUUACGAUAAUCGAGAUAAAUCCAUGCGAGUGGGACAUUAGUCAAACUAAAUGUAAAUGAAAAAAGACCUUAUCAUGUUGACCCCUAACCCGACGAUAUUAUGAUGACCCCCGGCCAUAUUUUCUAAAACAAAUAGUCGUCCAGUUGUCGGUGUGGUGGUCACAAAUACGCGCGUUCAAGGGAAAAAGACUGUCCUGUUACUAAGUACUAGUGCCGCAGGAGUACAUUCGACCUCCUGCUGCUCAAGUGCUUAUCAAUGGGCACAGAAUGAUUUCAUCAACCGGCGCCUCGCGGAAAAUGAGACAUCAUCACC